UAGCUCAGUUGGUAGAGCACUCGACUGUUAAUCGAGUUGUCACAGGUUCGAGUCCU
RNAcentral lists this transfer RNA (56 nucleotides) under Paenibacillus agaridevorans. RNAcentral's name for it is "tRNA-Asn". It matches the Rfam family "tRNA", at positions 8 to 61 of the family's 71-position model. From Rfam's summary of the family: Transfer RNA (tRNA) molecules are approximately 80 nucleotides in length. Their secondary structure includes four short double-helical elements and three loops (D, anti-codon, and T loops). RNAcentral also lists the same sequence under 1 other name. Lineage: Bacteria; Bacillati; Bacillota; Bacilli; Caryophanales; Paenibacillaceae. The record is from RNAcentral.